RNAcentral lists this transfer RNA (64 nucleotides) under Pedicinus badii. RNAcentral describes it as "tRNA-Asn". The record is from RNAcentral. Lineage: Eukaryota; Metazoa; Arthropoda; Insecta; Psocodea; Pedicinidae.
UAGUGGUAGCUCAAUGUAGUAGCAUUCUAUUGUUAAUAGAGAGGUAGUUUUUACUCCACUAAAG